ACCCCAUGAUCAGGACACUUACAAAGUAAUUUUUUGAAUCUCUCCCACCCUACAUAUAAAGACUCAUCAUCCAAUUGUUGAAAACUGGUGAUCUCAUUUCAUAACUU
Gossypium arboreum is the source of this 107-nucleotide non-coding RNA. NCBI's taxonomy places the organism in Eukaryota, Viridiplantae, Streptophyta, Magnoliopsida, Malvales, Malvaceae. The record is from Rfam.